UACGUAGGGGGCAAGCGUUGUCCGGAAUCAUUGGGCGUAAAGAGCGUGUAGGCGGCUCGAUAAGUCUGCUGUGAAAGUCCAGGGCUCAACCCUGGAAGGCCGGUGGAAACUGUCGGGCUAGAGUCCGGAAGAGGCGAGUGGAAUUCCCGGUGUAGCGGUGAAAUGCGCAGAUAUCAGGAAGAACACCCGUGGCGAAGGCGGCUCUCUGGGACGGUACUGACGCUGAGACGCGAAAGCGUGGGGAGCAAACAGG
Molecule: ribosomal RNA, 253 nt
Filed under: uncultured bacterium
Lineage: Bacteria
Description: partial 16S ribosomal RNA
Rfam family: Bacterial small subunit ribosomal RNA
Source: RNAcentral